Mus musculus (house mouse) is the source of this 24489-nucleotide long non-coding RNA. RefSeq annotates it as predicted gene, 40841. Lineage: Eukaryota; Metazoa; Chordata; Mammalia; Rodentia; Muridae. The transcript is spliced from 3 exons. The record is from RefSeq and is a predicted model, not a curated record.
CUAGCCUCGGUGAUGGGCAAAGAACUGUCCUGAGCAUAUAGACAGUGGUUUUGUAUGGUGCAGACACAGCGGUUUAGUGGCAGUGGUUUGCAAUCAGACACAGAUAAAAAGUCUGACUCUCAUGGAAUGGAGAGGAAUCUGAAAUUCAAGGGCCACUUGUAAAGAAAGAUUGUAGGGAGAGAGGCGGAGAGGAAAACAGGGCUGCCGAGUCUUCCUGGAAUGACUCUGCAGGGAUUAGAUUGGUAGAAAGUUGUCUUUGGAGGAAAAGAAGACCUGCAAUUGCUACACCUUGAGAACAUGCCCGUUGCAUUCCACAUACUACCCAGGUCUAGGUAGCCUUUUAUACACAAAUGCAGAGAAAGGCUCCUGUGUGUCACCCAGGCUCUUGCAUUGUUAACCACAGUCAAAUGACAUAGGAAGUCAUCUCUUCACCUAUUCACGAAAAGUUCUCUGAAUUUGAUCAGCUAGGAUGAUCAUCUGUAUUUUUUUCUAAAAUAGUUUACUUCUACAUUUCGAGAGUGCCCAAAUAGGUUAUAUGCUUAUUUUGGGAUUUGACAGAACCUGUGGACGCCAAGGUCAUCACUCUCCAGUGUGUGGUCUGUACUAAACCAGCAGUAGCCACUCAGCACCUUCCACAGAGGGGUAUUCUGGGAAGCAGUUGUUGGUUGUCAUUUUGUUGCAAAGUAAAAAUAUCUAAGUGGCUUAAGGGCUUUGGCCAGUGUUAGAAAAACAUCACCCCUAUUUGCCAGCGUGAGGUGUCAGUGUGAGAUGCCAAUGUACAAACCAGAGACCUGUUAAUUCAAAGAAACAAACAUUUCCCUUGUUUCCAGUGAUGACUUUUGGGGGGAGAAUCUUACUGCUGUAUAUACCUUUAAAUAAGAAGUCACAAUUGAUUUAUGAUGAUUUUUUUUUUUAAAAAACAACAAAACCUGUCUCCUCUUUUCUCCCUACAAAGGGACAAGGUUUUCCCUCUUGGGUGAAUACUGCAUGCAUCGCUUGCCAUAGAAAGGGUGCCGUCUUGGCAAGCCUCUUAUUAGUCUAAAAAUAAAUUAUUCACAAUGCAGGUUCAGAUACAGAUUGCAAGGAGAGAUAAUAGAAUUGGUUUUCCAAGCCUGAUCAUGCUCGGAAGACAUGGUAUGUGCUUUUCAGGAAUCCACUUCAACGGAAUCAGCUUUGACGAGUACACACAAGAAAUAAUAUUGCUGCCAUCCAGCUUGUGUCUGCGGUACAGCAUCCUCCGCUUGUCUUCAAGGACCCACAGUGCCUCUUCAUCAGUGUGCAAAAGUCCAUAUUGCUCAAGCAUUUCUUCUGAGAUGCUGCCCUCCCAUUGUUCUUUUAAGGAAAUUUCUUCCUGGCAGCGUGAGAGGGGCACUGCCUCCUACCCCCCUUCUGCCUCGGCAGAACAGUUGACCACAGCAGCAGCCGACUCCGGCUCGUCAUGUGCUUCCUCAUGUGAUGUAGGUCUGCGGCACUGUGGAGCAAUCGCAUUUGAGACUCGGCACUCGUGGACAGACGGGCGUUCAGGGACUGGGGAGUUUUUGGAGGGGGGUGGGGAGGCCAAUAAACCAAGAAAACGUCAGAAAUAAAAGUCGCAUCAACCAGACUGUCUUCUUCACCGCUCCCGGGCUGCACCACUGUGGGCACAUCAAGCUUCGUCUGGCUCACCUGCAUGGUUCCGGCUGAUUCCUGCCUGAGAUGGCCCAUCGUACAACUAGGAUCCCAGAAUCUCCUGUCUGCACUCUGCGGAAGAAGGACCUAUUUCAGUCUCUGGCCAGGGUCUCUCACAGCCGAUGGGGUCUUGGAAGACAGGGUGAAGUUGCAGAAGACUGGGGUGGGAUGCGAAGGCAUGCGAAGGACUUGGAAAGGGAAUUUAGGAAUACUAUACAUCAGUGCCCACCGAUGAUAUGCAUACAGGGCGAGGGCAGCCACCGCCCCUGCCUCACGCACCUAACCCCGGCUGCUCGCUGGGAUUGUCUGAGGGGGACAACCCAGGUCUGGAUGUGGUGGCAUUUUUUCAGAGAGUGGAACUGAAGAUGGAUGAAGCAGGUACUUGCUGUGUCUGCUUGGCAGGGCAGAGCUGGAGAAAUGGAAGGGGAAAAGAAGAGAUGCUGACUGUCGUAAGAUUGUCUGCUGCCAGCUCCGCAGUCUUAAUCUAAGGAAGGAUGGCAUAGUGGAUCUGCCAGCACGUGCAUGGAGGAACUGUAAAUUGCAGUGUGGAUGUCCCUGGUACUGUCAAGGAAGAAACUGAUGGGCUGGGUGACUGUACAGUGUCCCCAGAGAAAAAUAGCAGCCUUGCAGCAUGGAUUUAAGUGCAUGUGCAUGCGUGUAGAGACAUGGAAGAGACUGUGUAACACAUACACACACAGAGAGAGAUAUGAGAGAGAGAGAGAGAGAGAGAGAGAGAGAGAGAAAGAGAGAGACUCUUUGCUGGGUUGGGUUUGAUUACAAGCCAGUGUUUUCAGCUCCUGCUCAAGACCUAUUUCCUGGCUAGCCAGAAAGCUCGGCCAGAGCAGCUGCAUAUAGACUUUUCUUUUUAACGGCAUAGCAAACCCCUUCAGUUUUAACUCCUUGAAGUUCUAAGUGCUCAGCGUUGGGCUAAGGCUCACUGUACGGUUUUGUUUUCUUCUCCUACAGAGCCCUGUAAACACAGCUGUAUUCAGUAUGGCAGAAAAAUUCUGUCCCUUAAAUAGAAAUGCGAUCAAUUUAAUCAAAAUAAAUGUAUCCCAGAUGACUCUGAGGCCAGCUGGAUACCACAGGCUUCAGAAGCUAAGCAUUCAGUGGAGAUGGAUACAGUGUUAGAUUUACAUGCUUUCAAAUGCUAGGAUCAGCUAUGCUUAAUAAAGGAAAUUCUUUAAGGAAAAGGGAGGGUCCUCCUGGCACCCAGCUAUAGAUGGUGACCACAGGUGCUGCUGCUGAUCCUGGCACUGGGGUUUGUGGCUGUCGAGCUUGCAGGGGUGUGUGGCAUGAGGCAGGGCACGGCUGAUGUCAGUGUGAAGAAAGCUUGCAGCCUGCUUGAGGCUGUAGGAAGGAGGAGGGUGGCCUCUCAUUGCCUCUGUCGGGGCUUGGCUGGUACUAGAAGCUUGUAGAUAGAUAAGGGUGAGCUGGGUGAACUGAGCUCUGAGCCGGGAGCAAGCAGCUUUCCCAGUUGUCAUGGGGGCUCCUCUGGGACGCCUGUCUGGCCUGUCCUCCCACUGUUUGUUAGAAAUUCUACAAAGCGGCUCUGUGUGCUGGAUUAUGUUUGGCCAGCUGUUGGUGCAUUCCUGAGGGUGGGGUGGAGACAGGAUCUUAUUACUGUACUUCCAAACUGUAGAUCUAUGUGGGGAGAGAGAGAGAGAGAGAGAGAGAGAGAGAGAGAGAGAGAGAGUGUGUCAGGAUGUGGUGGGGAGAGGAAAGAAACGCAAGCAAGUCUGAUAAUCCCUUCUCCUUCUCCAGGUUGUGCUAGAGGAGCAUUCAGAAAGGCUAUGAAGUGAAAGAGAGAAAGGAGAGGGUAAGGGGUGGGAGCACAGUGGAACAGCCAUGAGACAAAGCAGAACUUCAAAGCUGCAGAGACGAGCAGAAUGUCAGCAGCUUGUAAUUAGCGGUUCAUGGUUGCGUCAGAGACUGUAUCUCUCCAAGAAUAACUGUGUGCUGUGUGCCACAGAGUGCAGAAGACAGUCAUAACUAAGUUAUCAAGCACAGUUCAAAUGAGGGCAGACACAUGAAGGCAUUUUCUGUUUGAAAAUUAAGCAGGGCUGAAGUGCACAUCUCACUGGCUGGAUUCUGCCUAACUUCUGGCAGGAAAUGCUCAGCGUAUAGGAGGGUGUUUGUUAGAUCAAACAGGGGACCCAUAAGCAUGCAGACUGAGCAUGCAAGCUCCGUCCCUGUAAAAUACCGUCCCAAACAGCCCGGUACUGCACUGCUGGGGUCCUGUCUCCGUAUAUACCCAUUCGCUUUUGUAUGCCAAUGGGAGAAAGUUAAAAGUACACCCAAGGACAUAUGUCCCCAUUAGAUUCUAAAAUCCCUACUAUAGAAUUAAAACCUGACUGCAGGUUCUGAGUUGUUUUGGUAUUCUUAAUUUAUACGCUGAAGAAGCUCUUUUUUUGCAAUUAUCUUGUUGGUAACCCUGUGAGGAAGCGACAUACCACUAUAUGAUGUUGAAGGGCACCUUUCCCUUCCAUCCCCUGUCUCUGUUAUUUGGAGGUGUGGGGCGUUCUCUGGAGCCUCCAGGAGGAGCUGGUGGGAGGAGCUGAUUGGCUAGCAGGCUCAGCGUGUUUACUCUUAUUUGUUUUCAGUGCUCCUUCGCAGCGUGCAUUUAGUAUUUGUAUUUGUGUUCAUGCUGCACAAUUACUACUGACCAGCUUUGUUUCUCUGCCCGAAGCGAAGUCAAUUUUAGUUCAGCCCCUGCAGUUGAGUCCCUGGACAAUAUGCACAUAUGUAUUAUGUUACCCGUGUAUGCACUUUUCCUUUUAAAAACGUGGAUUAAGGAAAAUUGUAGGCAAGGAGAGACGUGUAUAUGAAAUCAAUAGCUUUUUGAAUCACAUGUAAUAUAAUUUAAAUAUACUCACUUUAAGAUUGCCAAAGCCUAUGUUGUCUGAGCCCAGUUAAUUUACAUCUUCGAUUUAGUCAAGAGGUGGAACCUGCCAGAUCAGAAUGCUGUAUUCUGUGCACCCAACAGGGUGGAAGACAUUAUUUUGUUUGUGUUAGUUCAAACAGCUGGUCAUUAAUGCAGUCCCCAUUUCUAGAGAGAAACGCUGGUGGACAUGAAUGGCUGUCUGAUUAAUGCUGCCCCUCGGAGGGUCCUUCACCCAGCCAUGCUCCUGCAGAAUAAUGUAGCAUGAUGUGAUUGCACUCUAACAGGAUAGUAUGUCAUUGUGUCACCAAGCAAUUGAGGUUAUUAUGGGGCAGGGCAGACAGACGGGACAGUGGGGUUACUAGACCGUAGCAUUUUUAGAAAUACAGGCCUGACCUACUUAGAGUUAUUCUGGCAGGCAGCUGCACGGUACAUAAAGUCUCCUGAUAGGCUGAAGCUGUUGCUAGGGGGAAUUAGCAUGAAUUUUUCCACACAGAGACUCAGCGACUGAAUGAUAAAAGCUGACUGGAAUUAAAGAGAUUUGGUUUAGCAUUGUACAGAUUGAUCUGCCUCAGUUUUUUUUUUUUUCUUUCUCAAGUGCCAAGAAAGAGUGCAAAAAAUAGAGACUUCUUUUUGUUUGUUUGUUUCUAUUAGUUCUUUGACCUUCUCCUUCUCUUCCUUCUGCCCUUCAUCCCCAAGAGCCAGGAGGGCAGGAGAACAGAGCAGUUAUGAAAUUUUGGUUAAUCUCUUAUUGCUGGGGUCAUUGAAACCAUGUUGCAAAUGGCAUGAUAUUUAAGCUUCAGGACUGCUGGGCGUACCUAGCAGAAGGGCAGAUGGGUUUUUUUGGUCCCCUGUGUAUCAAGCUGUUUUGGAGUUGGGCAUGCAUCUUUUAUACACUGUAUAUUUUAUACACCCCUUUCCCUUUUGGGCUUGAACAAAACAUUUACAUAAAUUCUUUUCUAUCCAAACAGAUUGAAGCUUGCAAUUGCUGGCUUGUUUAAAAUAAGAUAGUAAGAUAGACAAGAUUCCAGAUUUAGAAUAUAUAUAUAUAUAUAUGUAUACACACACACACACACACACACCAUUUUUUUAUUACAAAAGUAUUUUUUUCUGGGCUAUGUUUGUCUUUUGAAAAGUCCAGUUUGGUGUUUGUGUUCAGGGAUAGAAUUGAACUGCUCCCACCCCACCCAUUUUGUUUCCCAGUGUACAAAAAGCACUCUUUUGUUUGUUUGUUUUGUUUUGUUUUGCUUUGCAUUUUUUUUUCUCUGCAGAAGAAAGUGUGGCUGUAGAAUCCAGUCUGGAGACUGCUUUUCCAUGUUGCUGACAUGGGCACUGAGUAGAGAGAGCUCACAUAAUCAAUUUUGCAACAUGACCCACUUUCCCUCCCCAGCAUUCCCAAGUGUCUGCAGUUUUAAUAGCUCUUUACAAGAAGAGGAUUUUUUAAUAGAUCAUUUAAAAAUAAUCUGAAAGUCCAUCAAGAGAAAAAUUAAAGCAAUGCGUAUUCAAGAAUACUUUGGUUUUUUUCCCCCCUCAUCUUAAUUAUAUGCUAUCUGUGGUGUUUGUGCUGAAAGUAGUUAUUAUUCUGUUAUAUUUAUUUGAAAUUAAUUUUUGUAAGAAAGUCCUAGGAGUUCACAAGUAAACAAGGAGCUGAGGAGCAUAAGUCCUGGAAAGGAGAAGGAAGAGGGUGCUCAGCUGUGUCGCUGGAUUUCCUGGCCAUGUGUAAAGAGGCAAGAGAAUAUUUAUUUGUGGAUUUUCUUAUUUCCAUUUAGGUUUAAAAAGUAUUCAGAACUAUGUAGAUACAGGCACUGUAGUGAAAACAAAGCAAGAAUAAUUUAGUGGUAUCUAACCCAGAAAGCUAUUGAUCAUCCCCUUUAAAAAAUCCAUUGAGUGCUGUUUAUGUUUUAGACACCUUAGGAAAGAGAAUGUGGUAGGGUUGAAUUGUGCUCUCGCUAGCUAGGAGUGUCCCCACAAUAGCAUUAAUCAUGAGGAGCUCCAAGCAAGAAACCAUCUUUCAUAAUUGAAUAACUGGUCAAUUUGCUUUUAUGAAUAUAAAAUAUCCUUGGGUGUUCCUCUUUACAAAGUGAUGCAUUUUUUUUCAAAAUUGUCUUAUCAAAGGAAUAUUUUUGGCCUUUCUUCCGUUGUAAUUCACUUUGAUUAAGUUGGUAUAAAGGUACUUAAAUAUUUAAGUGCUAGAAUAUAGAAAUAAAAAGUCAACUUUAAAACCCCUAAAUAAGGACAUAUUUUAAAUUAGUGUUCUUUAAUACAUAGAUGCCUAAUUUAGGGAAUCUAUAGCCUGUGUCCAGGUAUGCAUGAUACUCACAGUAUAAAUGUCCGUUGUUUAAUGAAAAAUGAGUUGGCCAUAUUGAAUUGUUCAGUAUAAUCUUACUUGGAUGUUUAAGUUGUUAAUUUUUUCCCCUUUCCCCUUUCCCCUUUUCCCCUUUUCCCCUUUUUAAUGGUUUUCAACCAUUACUAAAGAGGUAAGCAUUUGGUGUGCCAACACAAACAAAGAGAACAUAGUUUUGAAUGUAAUUUAUGCUUACUUAACUUCGGCUAAAGUUAACUUCCAACAUUCACUUAGUGUGUGUCAAUAGUAUUCGCUUCAUCCACUGCCAUUGAUUAGACAGCCAAAGGGACAAGUACCCGCACUUGUUACAUUGAUUAUUUAUUAGGUGAGCAUUUCUUUCUGCUCACACAUUAGCUAUCUUUUCCAGUUAUAAGGCCCAAAAUAGAGCAGUGAAGUUUGGGGGAUUAGAUCUUAGGGGUCACUGAGUUCAGUUAGUAUCCAAGUAAAAUAUCUCCCUCAAAUAUCCAGUUCAAACUCUGAUGUCACCUAAUCCCCAGAGUUUGGGGAAAGGCCUGGGGGCUUUGCGUCCUAGUGCUUAGAGGUGAUCAGCCCUUCUGAUAUCUCCGAGUAGCUAUAGCUCUUCCAAACCAUCUCAAUAUUGUUGAAGAACCCACAGUAAGUCAGACUGUGCCUUUGUGAAGUCAUGCUAGCAUAUGGUAGCCCAAGGAUUUUCAGCAUCAGUAUUUGAAUAGUUAGCGUUUCAACGAUUUAUAAAUGCCCAAGCUGUGCUAGCUGAGAUCUUGUCUGCCCCUUAGCCUGAAACCAACCUGUCUUCCUUUUCACUGCUUUCUCUUCUUAGUUCAGCAUUACAUGCCAGUUAGAUUCUCCCAAAUCUCUCCUCCUUCUUUUGUCCAUGUGCUAGGUGCAGAGAAGUUGGUUGAUUGAUGAAUGGAUGAGCAGACUAAUGAUCAUCCAGCUAGUUAAAAAAUGAAUACAUUGGUAGCUAUUCAGAAGGAAAAAAAUCAUAAAUGUACAAUGAAAUUGGCUAUAUGUGGACAUAUUUAGUGAUGAAAAUCCAAGUAGUUAGGUUUUAUGGGCUUCCUGAUCGCUAUGCAAUUACUCACCUUGCCUAAUAUAGCUAAAAGGCAGUAAUAGACAGUAUAUAAAUGAAGGAGCCUGACUGCCUUUAAAUAAAACUUUAUUUAUAGACACAAGCAAUGGGCCGGAUUUGGCCUAGGCACUAUAGACACAGGUAUAUUGUCAUCUAUGGUAAGUUAAAGAUACGACUUAAGCAUUAUAUACAUAUUCCUUAGUAUAUUUUUGCCUUUUUUUCUUUUCUUUCUUUUUUCUUUUUUUUUUUUUUUUUUUUUUUUUUUUGUCUUUUUUCUUCUUUUUACUGUAGCUGUCUUCAGAUACACCAGAAGAGGGCAUUGGCUCCCAUUACAGAUGGUUGUGAGCCACCAUGUGGUUAUUGAGAAUUGAACUCAGGACAUCUGGAAGUACAGUCAGUGAUCUUAACCUCUGAGCUAUCUCUCCAGCCUCUCCUUAGUAUAUUUUUAAAAGGAGGAAGAUUUGAAACGUUAACAAAAAAAAAAAAAAAAAAAAAAAAAGGAAGAAAGAAAGAAAGAAACAAACAAACAAAGAAAAGAAAGAUCAGUAUGGUUUACGGUCUGGACUCACUGCCAAUCAACCAGGUGCUGAUUCUCAGUGGUAACAGGACUAAGAGGCAACAAUUUAUUUUAAAACUCAAGGAUUAAAGUAAAUAAACCUGAUUACUCUUUCUUUAGAUGGUGAGACUUUUUUUUUUUAAUCUUGCAAAAUGACUGUUCUGGUGUUGGUUGCCUGGGUGUAAGAGAGACCUCAUACUCUGUGUCUUAAGAGCUGGAAGGAAGUCCAAAACAUGACACAGAAUGACUCUGCAAUGGUCUGGAGAGAUGGCUCAGUGAUUUAGAGACUGUACUGUUCUUGAAUAGGGCUUGAAUUCAGUUCCUAGCACCCAUGUAGGACAGCAUAUAACUGUCUAUAGUUGCAACUCAGCAGUUCUAACAACCUUGUUCAGGACACCCUGGGCAGCAGCUUCACACAUGCACAUAUCCACACAGGGGCACACACAUACACGUAAUUGAAAAUAAAAUGACUACACCACAGCCACAACAUCUUGCUGUUGUCCGGGUAUUACUGUUUAAUCACUACAAAUACUGUCCUGGGCUAACUGGCCCUCAUCCCUAGAGGUAUGUGUUCUAAAGACUCCAGGGGUGCCUGAAACCUCAGGAUGUGCAGAGGUUGAUCUACGCUGCACUUUCCACUAAAGUUUUAUCAUAUAGAUGGUCUAAAGCUUCCUCUGUAAAUCUGGCAUAGCAAUAAAUCAGCAGCAAAAAUUCCCCAUAAGAUACAAUAGUUUAAAUAGUGAACUGAAAUAGAAAUGACUUAAAAUAUGAUGUCUUUGUGUGUGUCUGGUAUCUGUGGGUAACAUAUGCACAUCUGUAUGCGAAGGCCAGAGGUUGACGUGAGCUGUCUUUUUUUCCCUUUUCUCCACUUUAUUUUGCAGAGACAAGAUCUCUCACUGAACCUGGAUCUCACCAGCUAGGCAAGCCUAGUGGGCCAGGAAGCUCCAGGGAUCCUUCUGUCUCUGCCUCCCUACUGCUAGGGACACAGUACUGUAAUCUAGGUGCUCCCAUGCCCAGCUUUUCCUGUGGAUUAUGGGUCCACCCUGAGGUCCUUAUGUUUGUGCAGCAAGCAUGGGUUUGGUUUUAACUAGCCUAAAAACUCAUGACUUUUUGUUUCUGGAAUUUUCUGUUUAGCAUGUUAAGACUUCAACUUAUCAUAAAACUUUGGAUAAGAGAUGGCAGUAUUUUUAACCACCAGAUGAUCAGAUCUGUCCUUCCUCUCACAUCUUUGUCCUUCUUCUAUCGGGUAGCAAUUACCUUGCAGGAUGCAGUAUUACGGUUCUACAUUUUCAACAUUCUUGCUCUAUUUAAGCCCCUCUCUGGCGUUUAAUUCCACUUGUAAGGUUUACAUUGGUCUGGUAUGUUUGUAGGUGGCAUUAGACGCUGUGAGCAGGAUGGAGAUCAAGACCUAGGUCUGGGCAUUAGGAGACCCUGUGUUUCAAUGUAUAUUUUAUACCCAUUAGUUGUGGCAAGUGGGAUACUUUAAGGCAUUUCCCUAAGCUUGAACAUCAAUGUCACUACAAAGGUUUCAUGAGCAUGAGAAUAUGAAUCCAGCUGUCUGGCCUCUUGGAAGUAGUCAGUACAACCUGGUGGCUGCUGCUUUUGGUACAACCCUUGCUCUUAUAACUGGGAAUGAUUCUGCUUCCAAGCAAGUGUGUCGUCAUCUAAUAUUAAGCUUUGAGAUCUUGAUGGGAUCUUUAGGGCCCUGCUCUUUAAUGGGAGGGCCAUCUAGAGUAUUUAUUGCAUAAAGUCAGAUUAUCAGAAAUAACCACAUGAAGAAAGCACACACAGGAACAGGGUAAACAUAGAGGUAUCCAGUAUCCUGGACCGAAUUGUGUGCUUAUCCUUGCUGCUACUUUCUGAAUUUUUAAAAAGUUGACAUGGAUUUUAGCUAAUUCUCUUCAAAGAAUACACUAAACACAUAGCUUUUUUCCCCCUUCUUUUUUUUUUUUUUUUUUUUCUGUCUGCUUGUAAGGCCAAAGACAAAUGGAAACAAAAAAAGGGGCCACCCAUUCUAUUACCUUAAGGCUAUACUUUCAUUAUUUUCAAAUAAUGCUUCAGGCUUACCUCCUCCAGAAAACUUAGCCCGUUCCAGUGGCUUUGGAGGAACAGGGAUCUGCUAGCAUCCUUCAGCCUUCAGCCUUGAACUGAUUUUGUGCCUGGUGAUUAAAAAAAAAAAAAAAAAAAAAAAAAAAAAAAAAGGGCAGCUGCUGCCUGUCAAUCACCUGACUUCUCAGGCCUGCUUUCUUUGAAUCCUUUAUAGCACCCAAAUAUAGCUUAAGUUGGCCUGACAACAGAACUCCUGUAAAAGUGUGUUCACCUCUAUGAGACUGCACAUACCUCAGGCUAGAAAACUGUCUUUCUCUAAUACCCAGUGGAGCCAUCUGUGUGUUCUUUGUGCUCAAAUAGUUGUGAAAUUAAUGGCUGCCAUAGAUUUGCCCGUUCUGUGUGUAUAUCCUAAUCAUUCAUGUUACACAUGUCACUUGGACUUUUGCUAAACUAUUAAUAGUGAAUAUAAAUUAGUGAUGAGGUUGAAUCUCUCCCAGCAGUCUGAGAAAAUGACUUAAAGAGACAGGAGCCGAUCCUUAGUCACAGACUCAGUUAAGUGAGACAAUAUUCCAUUUUCAUACCUUUUCUAGAGAUCAGAAGCUACUCAUUCUACACUUUUAGUUAGACAAGACUAAGUCUUGCUGCAUGGAAGUGUAAAGGAGAAGGAAAAGUAACAAAAACAGAGAUUGUUCUAAAAGCAAUAAUAAUCAUUAUUGUUUUGUGGGGGGCGUUUCAUAAAUUCAUAAAUGUGUGUGUUUUUCUGAGUGAGAAAUUCUCUGUUGAAAAGCUUAUUAAAUGAAAAAAAACAUUCUGGAAACAGUUGAAUCUGAUACUUUCUAUUUUAGCUCGUCUUUAUAUUAUUUUUCUUAAUAAAAAGAAAUCCUUUGGUUGUCUAAGAGAAAUGUUAGAAAAAUGUUGCUUUGAUGGUUUUUGAGGCCCUUUCUUCCUGGGAGCUAAGAGCAUUCAUAGCAGAGGUGUGGCAGCGGGAGGGGUGGGGUGCCACUGAAUGUCUCUGGUCUCCCUGGGGCUUUUCCCUUGCUAUUGCCAGUGGCUACAAAUGGCCACCCACCCCAGGGAAGUGAAUGGAACAGCAUGGGAGCCUGAGCCUCUUUGUACUCACUGCCAAUUGCUAGGUGUGAUUGAAUAUUUUGAAAGAAGCCAAUAAGUAAAAAUGGGCAUUUAGCUAGUGCCUUUUAGAAAUGAUCCUUUUCCCUCUCUUUUCUCCUCCUUUUCAAAUAUAUUUGAUACCAUGGCUUUGGACUCUGCCUACCUCUCUUAUUAUCUAAGCUAUUCAUCCAUCCUAUAAUAGACACAUGGUAAGUACCAGGUGGAUGACAUUGGGCUUAGCAUGUUUUUCCUCCUCUAACUGCUAUAGAUUCCAGUGUUUUGUCCUUGUUCUGUUACCAGGAGGCCCUGCUUCAUCUGACUUUCCAGGCCAUAGUCAUUAAAGUUCACAGCACAGAGGCCCCUCGGUUUCGGGGUCCAGUUACAAGCCUGAAGAAUGCCAGUAUUGUUUUGCGAGAAUGACUGCUGGCACCUUGAACAUUACCGUGUUCUCAGAGUAAAAGAUACGUGUAGAUUUGCAACGUUUUAAUUUUAAGGGCUCUUUUUACACCUGCUUAUUGGAGGAACAUUCCACAGAGCUCUGCAUGUCCUGUUGUUUCAGCAGAAAACACAGUAGUAGCUGGAGUGGUGUGUGGUGAUCAUUAAUCUUUACUAGAGUCAGUGGGCUCUUAAUUAAGGAGGUAUGAAGCUGUGUGUGUGUGUGUGUGUGUGUGUGUGUGUGUUUCGUUUUUUUUUUUCUUUCUUUCUUUGUUUAUUCCUCAAACAGGCACACAUCUAGAGGAGCCUCAUAGAAAACUAUUGAUGAUUUACAGCCCAUUCAAAUGAGGAAGAGCAAACAGUUUUGUACCAGUGUGACUUCUCUUGACCUGUUCUCCACCGCAGAAGGAUUUGGGGCUGGAGGUUGGUGGUCCUGGUGAGUACUCAGUGAGGCAAACAGGGCCCACUGUGUUUCCAGAUAUCCCUUUGGAAUUACUCUCAAGCACCUGCAGAGAAAGAAUGGUAGGGGUGGUAGAGCCCUGUCCUUUCAUAGCUUGCUUAUUUUAAAAUCAGUAUUUGACAAUACGAGCUUGAGUUGCUGUAUUAUAUACCUAAUCCAUAAAAGUAGAACCAACUCUAAUCACUUAAAUCCUGGCCAUAACACUAUAAGACCCUUAAAAAAUUAGUAUUUUCCUAGGUAUCAUAGCUGAGUAGGUGUUGCAGUAAUCAAUUAAAUACUCAAAUUGAUCUCCGUGGUGGCGUUCCUCGACACCCGCCCCAGUAUUCUGGGUUCCCGAAUGAAAGACACACACACACACACACACACACACACACACACACCUUUUAUAUUUUGAGAUGCCUAAAUCAGCUCAAUGGCUGAGUCACUUCCUAACCGCCACGUGACUAAUCCAUCUCCCUCCGAUAUUCUCAAGCUAUUACUUGAGAAUUUCAUCUUUGCUGCCCUGGAUUCAGUCAGGCAGCCCUCUUGGGGCCGCUCUCCCCCAGCUCCUACAUGGUGGCUAUGCUCUCUGUCCCACACUUUCUUAGGUGUGGCGUCUCUUCUCUCCUCCCUGCAUGGGGAAUCUCCUUCUUCUCUCUUUUCCUUUUGUCCCUAGCCCUGGAAUCCUAUAAGUCCGGUCCUGUGUGCCCUGCCCAGCCAUUGGCUGUUGGCAUCUUUAUUUACCAAUCAGAACCAACUGGGUGCUAGAUCCCUCGGUGUUUUAUGUGAGAACGGGUGGAUUCUUGUGCAAACUGUUUGGGGAUCCACAUUAACACGUUACAAGCAGCAUUAGACCAAACUCACUACAUUGUAGGAUUGUUGGUUGCCUUUCUUCUGACACCGUAAAUGCCAGCCCUCACAGAGGGACAUUUACAUCAAUUUCAGCUCAGACAUUGUUGGGCCCCGUUUCUGAAGUCCAUGGUGUCUUACCUUCCAAUGGCAAUGACAACGGUUUGUCCAUUUUGGAAGUCUCUUUGACAGCUCUGGUCAAGUUAUUGGGGUUUUGUUAGUUGGUCUUUGGUUCUUGGAGAGAGGGCUAUCAGGCAAGAUAAGAAAAGUUCAUUAAAACUAUAUAUGUGUAUUUAUGGACAUGCCAAAUUGACCAGAGAAACGACCAUGAGGCCUUAAUCCUACAUAAAGAACUAUAGCCAAUUCAGAAAGCUGAGAAUAGAAGUAGACUCCUUAGGGAGCGCCCAUCAACUGCUUGUCCAUGCCAUGAAAACAUACAUACAAGUAAAACUAUGCAGGCUGAACAAGUUAUGUUUAGAAAUACAGAUGAAUAUACUUAUAAGCAUAAAAUAAUAAUUAGUACAUAAAGGGGUCUCAAAUUUUAAGGCGAAUGGGAACGGGUAUUUGAAGUGUUUGGAGGAAGGAGAAGGAAAGGAUGAAUUAAAUUAUAAUCUCUAAACACACACACACACACACACACACAUACACACACACACACACACACACACACACACACCCCUUAAAAAAUGAUUAGUAUUUUCCCAGUGUGGCUCAGUUGUGCAAAGAAAGGUCCAGAAUAGAUGCAAUCUCUAUGUUUGUCUCUUGUCCUCUUUUUAUCCUUCCUUCCUUCCUUCCUUCCUUCCUUCCUUCCUUCCUUCCUUCCUUCCUUCCUUCCUUCCCUCCCUCCCUCCCUCCCUCCCUCCCUCCCUCCCUCCCUCCCUCCCUCCCUCCCUCCCUCCCUCCCUCCCUCCUUCCUUCCUUCCUUCCUUCCUUCCUUCCUUCCUUCCUUCCUUCCAUCUAUUUGUAUUUUAAAUUUGGUACUGAAUACUAGUGAGGAUCUGGCUUAAAAUGUCCACAUUGCAUCUGCUUUCAGGCCAUUCCAUACUUAUGUAGAGAACAUGGACAAACAGUUCAAAUAUUUGCUGUGCUCCUCUCUGCAGAAGCCCACCUCCCCCAUUCCCAGCUUUCCCCAGUUGGCUAUAGGUCUUUAGGAUUUCUUGGACUUACCUCACCAACAACUUGAUAGAGGGUUUCUCAUACAAGAUACUGGGUCUUGUUAGAUAGUCUAUGGCUCUUGAGGAAUAUAUAUAUAUAUUAUCAUGUGAUAUUAGAUAAAUAUAAAAUACUACAAUUACCGUUUCAAGCAUAUUUAAUGCUAAUUAUCCCUCCCCCCUCCUCUCCUUCUGUAGUGUCCCUUCUUGUUCCCCCAUUAAAGAUCCACCUUCUUUCCAUUUCCCUAUUUGCCCGUAUCUUGCAUUAUUUCUCUCUAGAUCUCCUUUCAAAGCCUCCAUGGUCCCUUUUUACUUUUCUAGUUUCUGCAGUUAUUCACAUCUAAGGAUUUGGGACUAGGAAUGGUAGAUGAGAGAGAACAUUCAACAUUUAUUUUUCUGGGUCUGGGUUACCUCACUUUAAUACUACUUUUCAAGUCCAUCGAUUUACCUGCAAAUUUUGUGAUUUUAUUUUUUUUUUAUUUUUAACAGCUGAGUAGUAUUCCACUUUUAUAAGUACCAUCUUUUGGUUAUUCAUUCAUUAGCUAAAGGACAUUUAGGGUAUUUCUUCUUCCUUGCUAUUGUGAACAGAGUGGCAAUGAACAUGGGAUCCUGUAUUUUUUUGAGAUCCUAUAUUUUUGGAGCUGUGACCAAAGUCUCCCUUUACUUAGUCAUGGCCUAUGGAUGGUCAUGAAGUUAGAAAGGGUUUCCAAGUGUGUUAAUGAUAUCACAGUUGAAGUUAUGUCAUGAAGAUAGUUUAUGAAAAAGUUACCCUGAAGAUAGUUCCCAUAUUAAAGGAGAGAGGAAGAAGAGUCCCAAGUCUUGGACUGUAACAGACUUCCCUACAUUUUGAUUUCUAGAAUAUCAUAUUGGAUAUGCUUAUCUUGAGACUGUAUUUAUAUUAGGGGAUUUGGACAAAAACAAAAAUGUGAACACAUAACAAACUUUAAAAUAAUGAACAACAGUAUUACAUUACACAUCUAAUGUUGUAGCCAUUUGCCUUGUUCAGGCUACUGGCUGCUGAGAACUGUAAAUGUAUUAGCUACUGGCUACUAUAUAUUGGAAUACUGUUGAGUGGAAACAUGGCUGUACAGAUGGGAUACUCUGUAAGGAUAAAAUGUUCUUUAGUGUCUAACAACUUAUCAUGAAAGAAGUGUGAAGUAAUCAAGUUAAAUAUUAAUGAUGGUAUUAAAAGUGGUGAAUGGUACAACAUUGGUAUUUUUGGUACAUUUGUUACAAUUUUUAGGAGUAAUAUUUGUUCUAUUCAUAUUUAUUUUAGUUUUAUUUCCUUUUGAGAUGGGAUUUCAUAAAGCCCAGAUUAGUAUUGAGGUCACUUUGUAGGCAGCAAUAACCUUGAACUUCUGGUCCUCUUCCUGCCUUCAUCAUGUGAGUGCUUUGAUUAUGUGUGGAUGCAGAUGCACACAGAGAUUCAUGGUGGGGCUUGAACCCAGGGCUUCAUGAGUGUUGGAAAAUCACUCUCCUAACUGAGCUAUAUCACCAACUCAGUUUUGCUUUUGUUCUAAAAUGUGGCUUCUAAUAUCUACUUAUAAGUAAACACAUGCCAUGCUUUUCUUUCUGUGUCUAGGUUACCUAAUUCAGGAUGAUUUUUUUUCCAGUUCCAUCCAUUUGUCUGUAAAUUCCAUGAUGCAGUUUUUAAAAAACAGCUGAGUAAUACUCUGUUGUGUAACUGUACCACAUUUUAAAAUUCUUUCCUCAUAUAUUACAUCUUAACCAGUUUUCCCUCCCUCUCCUUCCUCUGGUUUUUUCAGCCAUCUCCCCUCUCUCCCAGAUACACCUCCCCUCCAGAGGGAAACCAACCAAACAUGGUAUAAUAAGCUACAAUAAAAACAGGCAUGUACUGUCACAUCAAGGCUGGACAAUGCAACCCAGUGGGAGGAAGAGGGUUUCACAAGUAGGAAAACGAGUCCAAGACAACACCUACUCCCACUGUUAGGAUUCCCACAUGAACACCAAGCUACACACCCAUAACAUAUAUGCAGAGCAUUUAGGUCAUAUCCCUAUAGGUUCUUUGAUCUCUGACUCCCUAUGAGUAUCAAUCAGUUGAAUUUGUAGGCAUGUUCUUGUGGUGUGUCCCUGACUCCUCUGGUUCCUCUGAUCCUUCCUUCCCCUCCCCACAGGAUUCCCUGUGCUCCACCUAAUGUCUGAGUGCAUACCACAUUUUUUUACUCCAUUCUUCUGUUGAAGGACAUCUAGUUUUUUUUGGGUUUUUUUUUUUUUUUCAGUUUUGGGCUGUUAUGAAUCAAGCAGCAAUGAACAUGGCCGAGCCAGUGUCCCGGUAGGAUGAAUCCUCCUUUGGCUAUAUUCAGGAGUGGUAUUUCUGGGUAUUGAGGUAGAUCAAUUCCCAGUUUUCUGAUAAACUGCCAUAUUGAUUCCCAAAGUGGCUAUACAAGUUUGUACUCCCACCAGCAAUGGAGGAGUGUUCCCCUUGCUCCACAUCCCUGCCAGCGUGAUCUGUCACUUGUGUUCUCUAUCUUAGCCAUUCUCACAAGUAUAAGAUGGAAUUUUAAAGUCCUUUCAUUUGUAUUUUUCUGAUGGCUAAGAAGUUUGAACAUUUCUUUAAGUGCCUCUUGGCCAUUAGAGAUUCCUCUGUUGAGAAUUCUCUGUUUAGAUCUGUACCCUAUCCUUUUAAUUGGAUUAUUUAGUUUAUGUCUUGUUUCUUGAGUGCUUUAUAUAUUUUGAAUAUUAGUCCUCUGUCAGAUGUGGAGCUUGUGAAAAAUCUUUUCCCAUUCUGUCAGCUACCAUUUUGUCCUAUUGAUGGUGUCAUUUGCCUUACAGAAGCUUUUCAGUUUUAUGAGGUUGUAUUUAUUAAUUGUUAAUAUUAGUGCCUGCAUUAUUGAUGUUCUUUUCAGAAAAUUGUCUCUUAUGCCAAUGCAUUCAAAGCUAUUUCUCACUUUCUCUUCUAUUAGGUUCAGUGUAUCUGGAUUUAUGUUGAGGUCUUUGAUCCAAUUACAUGAGUUUUAUGCAGAAUUUUAGAUUAAAAAAAUCAAUGAAAUGAUUCCUAAUGAUAUUCUGCUGUACAUGUAGACCAGAGCCUAGCAUAAUCAUCACCAGAGAGGUUUUCUUCCAGCAACUGAUAGGAGCAGAUACAGAGACCCACAGCCAAGCAUUAGGGUGGAGCCUUCGAAAUUCCAAGGAAGAGGAGGAGGAAGAAGAAGAGGAGUUGGAGGAGGAAGAGGAGGAAGAAGAGGAGGAAGAGGAGAAGCCUGAGAGGACAAGGACACAAUAAGAACAUGGCCCACAGAGUCAAAUAAUUAGGGCUCACAGGGGCUUACAAAGACUGGAGUGACAAUUAGGGAGCUUAUAUGGGUCUGACUGAGGUCCUUUGCAUGCAUGUUGUGUAGCUUGGUAUCCUUGUAGGACUACUAACAGUGGGAGUGGGGGCUGUCUCUGAGUCUUUUGCCUAAUAUUGGGAGCUAUUCCCUCAUUGCGGAUUGGAUAAUGCAUUCUUUAUAUAAGGAUAUGUGCCUAGCCUUAUUGUAACUUGUUAUGUCAUGUUUGGUUGAUAUCCCUGGGAGGCCUGCUCUGUUUUGAAGGAAACAAAGUAAGAGUGAAUCUGGGAAAGAAGGGAAGUCUGGGAGAGGGCCAGAAGGAGAGAAGGGAGGGGAAACUGUACUGUGGAUAUAAUAUAUGAGAGAUAAAUAAAUAAAUAUGGCUUCUAGAUAGUUUAAAAUGAUACAUGGGGCUACAUUCCAUUUCAAUUGGCCAGUACUCCUCUCUAUACUAAGCCUUUAUGGUUUUUUAUGUGGAAGCUGUCACUGUGUCCCAGAAGCCUCAUAGAUACCAUUGUGGAUGAGGACACAGAGGGAUUAUGGUGAGCAGGUGAAAGGAUAGGGUGCUCUGAAUCCACUGUGAGGACGGAUCCCCCACGACUCAGAUGGAGUCUCCACAGAGUCUGUUAGGUGUGCAUACACACACAGCCAUCCAGCUUCAUCGCAACCAGCUGACCCAGAAUGGUUAAAGGUAGUCCAGAGGUGAUGUGUCCAGAGGUGAUGUAGUAGGCUACCAAUUUAUAGCGAAGUAAAGAAUGGAUGGGAAGAACCCACUCCUCCCAUUUGGGUUAGAAAAUCCUCUGUUGUAGUAGAUAUCCAGUGUUUCAUGAGUUAUUCAGCAUUGUCCACAAAGUCUAGAUAUCAGUGAAAAACACCACUAUAUAACCUACCAAUGACCCAGGAUAAGAGAAUAUGAACAUUGUAUGUCAAUACAUUUGAUGCAAAUAUAGAAGAUCAACAAAAGACCAGACAUCAAAAUUAACCAAAGAGGAAACAGAAACUUUGACUCCACUGGUGUCAAUAAAAUAAAUUGUAUAAAAGUAUGUUCAAGUUAUUGAAAAUGAAACAUAAGUUUUAUACAUGGACUUGAUUCUUACUCCUGAGAUACUUCAUGCUAGAUCUGCAAGCUUUAUAGUUGGAAAACAAAUUCCAAAGAUGAAAGCAGUCUGGUCCCUCUCAAGUCUUUCAUACCAUUUGCAUACAGAUGUAAUUUCUGUGAUUCAUGUACUGAUAGCUCAUCCAUGACAUAUAUUUAAAUUAUAAAAAAAUACAUUCUAUAAAGCACUUGCAUACAUACUAUGAAAACAUAUUUUAAUAUAUUUACAGUGUUGUAAUACGUUAUAUGAAAAUGCUGUUUAUAAGUGGAGAUGCCUGGUUUUUAAAGCACUAAGGUAUAGUAAUAGAUAAUAAAGUUUGCUUUCAGAUGUAAACCUUUGUUUGAGAAUGUAGAAUAUAUCUUACAACUGGCCAUAAUCACAAAUAUCAAUUUUGACAUUAGGAAAACUCAAAAUUGCUAGUAAAAAAUAAAGAAAGAAAGAAACUUAUGGUUGAUGGAACAUCACACAUUCAGGCUUCCACUGUAAUUUGUUCCACAGGCCAAAGCCAAUAUUGUCAAAACCCUGCAGGCAAUACUACAGAUUCUAAAGAUUUGGUGUCGUUAUAUCCUCCAUAGUAUUAGAUGGACUGCAAACAGAAAAAUGUUCUUCACUCAAUUUCUCUCUCUCUUUUUUCUUUUCUUUUUUCCUCUUCUUUCUUUCUCUCUCUCUCUCUUUCUCUCUUUCUUUCUUUCUUUCUUUCUUUCUUUCUUUCUUUCUUUCUUUCCUUCCUUCCUUCCUUCCUUCCUUCCUUCUCUUUUCUUUUCUUUUCUUUUCUUUUCUUUUCUUUUCUUUUCUUUUCUUUCUUUUCUUUACUUUUAUUUUCUUUGGAUGAGAAAGUAACAGCUUUAUGUAAGAAAUUAUUACCCUGAUAAUUGCAGUAUAAAUUUUCUUUAGCACUGAACACUGGAACAAAGUGGUCACCAGUGGGUCCAGACAGAGAGCUGAUAUGUGUUGUGCACCAGUUUUUUUUUUUGUACAGCAUAAAAAGGUGGUACAUGUUAGUAAGUUACCUCCUUAGUGAAACAUGCGUUCUAUGUUCACUAAUAACUAUUAAUCCCAUAUGACAGUUGCCAGUGAGUCAUACACACACAUACACACACACACAUUGUAAUAUAUUACACAUUUUUGUAAUCACACAGACUUUGUGUUUUCUCUGCCCUGAUUGUGGCAUAGACUGAUAGCUCUAAAAGUGCAUGCCAAAUUGUCAAAGGCUGUCAGACUGUAACACGGUGUUCGAUCUGGAGCGAAGAGUGUGUCCUCAGGUUUCUGGCCUGUCUUUUAUGUCUCAGAAGCACAAAUUGUUAAACAAUCUGGGGAAAUUGAAAGCAGCAAAUGUGCAAUAAAAUACCCUAUGUAGUUCAAGGCUACCAAACAAAGAAGGCCAAGAAGCUCCACUGUACUCUGGCAUUCCAGGGUGGUUUACCUGAAGAAAGUCCACUCACCAGACACUUAAAGAAAAACAGAUGCAAUUUCACAAAUAAACUUCUGGAAGUGCAUUUAACGCCACUUUUUCUGUAUUUCUGCUAAAGCUCAAUGCUUUCUUAAAUAUUCUGUCGUAAAAACUAAACGAGACAAGAGCGAUCUUUGUGUUCCUCUCCUCCCAAGGCUUUCAGCAUGGCCUUUAAAUGACCUCCCUCUUGGAGAGCACUUUAAUUAAGGACUGUAUUGUGAGAGGUCAUAACGUAAACCUAAGAUCUCCCUGUGAUAAGCAUGCUUUGUUUAUGACUCUCCCUCAGCCCUGUGCCGUAUCCUGUUGGGACAGUCACCGCUUCUUCCUUGCUUCUGCAUGUGCCAGAAAACUCCCGGGAGCUCAAGAUGUCUGUCCAACUGAGGCUUGGUCUUUGUGCUUCUGGGAGUGGCUCCCAGGGCCUCAGGCAUUCAGGGUAAUCCUUGUACCCUAGAGUUGCAAUCUAACUAUCUCUUUUUCCUGAUAAAGUUCUUUCUCCCUUAAGAACUCUCCUCUGGUCACUGCAUGGGUCCUGGUGAACUUAUUGUUUUUAAAAUGUCAUAUUUACUUAGAUCAAACAAAAAGCCACUAUAUUGAAAAUGAGAUAGUUAACUGCUUUUUGUUUUUUUGUUUUUCUUUUUGUUUUUUUUUUUUUUAAAGAGAAUUCCUAUCUUUUCCUGCCAAGAGCACUAUAUGUAUUUUAGUCACAUCAGGAAGUGGAGAUGAAUUUGACACCUUCUAUUUUAUCUAAGAAAGCAUUUUACUGUGGUUUUGCCUUGUAACAAAGGUAAAAGGGAUAAAAACACCUUAACUCUUCAGGGUCAGAAUUAAUUUACAUUGAUAUGUUUUAGAAUUGUCUUCAUCUUCUCAUGCUCAAAUAUAGCCCUUAAUCAAAGAACUGUAAGGCAGGCGUCUGUAGCAAGGUAAAGGGAUGGAGCUCAAAAUUCGGAAGGCAUUAUAAAGAAGCCAGCUUACCAAAGGCUGAAUCUAGAUGCUGCAAGGCAUGCUCAUGUGUCAAAACAAUCCAGCACGGGGCUCUGCCAUUUAAGCUAGGUGAAGAGGUGGUUGAACUAUGGACUCUUGAAAAAUAUGCCUAAGAUCAGACACUGGCAGCAAACUCUUUUCCUCAGGCUCCUAUACCAAGUUCCACCAAAUUAAGCCAUUUGAAUUUAACAGAAAUAUAGUUUGAGCAAUUUGGAAGCCGGAAUCAAAGACUGGACAGGUUUGUCUCUUUGGGAGCCAGUGAAAGAGAAAUGAUCAUAUCUUUCCUCUGGUUCCCUAGUGUGUGUCAGCCGUUGUGAUGUCCUUCAGCUCAGAGUCAUAGCACUCCAGUUUCUGCCUCCACCUUUACGUGGCAUCUGCCUCAUGGUGUAUCCUUUUCUGAUUCUUACAAAGAAACAUGUCACUGCACUUAGUGACCUCCACAAUCCAGGGUCAUCAAUACAUACCUAGAUAAAGACUCUAUUUCAAACAGUAUCCCAUCCUAAGGUUUUGGGUGGACAAUUAUUUCACUGGACCAGUAUUGAUUCCACUGCAUCAUAACAGGAAGUGACUGAUGCUACAGAAGAGCGUAUGCACAUAAGACAUGGCCUCACCCAAGGUGUCAGGCUCCAGCAGCAGUGAGAAGGGCUGAUGAAGGAUUGGUCAAUGAGGGUAGAGUGCUCACAUAGUUCAGUGUCCCAAGGAAGCUAAGUUCUUGCUGCCAGGGUAGGAAGUUAGCAUUUGGUACCUAGAUGGAAAGGGUAGGAGGGUUCCCAGAUACCACCUUAGAGAUACUGAGAGGUGACUUUAUAGUAUGGUAACAAAAAUGUAAAUGUGAAUGUGUAUUACCUAGCCUUGACCUGUCGUGACCUGGCCACAAGGCCAUGCAACAACAAUAAGCACACUCAGCUUCCACAUCUUUGUAGCUCAGCUACUUGAAAAAUGGCUGGAGGGCAGCAACCAAAGUAUAAUGGAGACUUUGGUUUGUUUAGACCUUUUGUCUAUGAGGUGGACCCACUCAUAUUCAGGAAAACCAUGUGCUCAAAAUAAUCCUCCUUUCCCCUUCACCAGAACCCCGUCAUAGAUACAAAUAGAAGUGUACUUUACUAAUCUCUUAAUUGCCUCUAAGGCCAAUCAGGUUGACAAGGUUAGUCAUGGAUGGGGAAAGUAUUAUCAGAGAAGCAACUCAGAACUAAGAGUCUAACAGAUAGAAAAAAAAGAAUAAAAAGGAAUCUAGCAAGGCAGGGAUGUGAACGUUGGUGUGUGAUUCUGAACUGGAUCCAGAAUUUUGACCAGUGAAUGUGGUAUGAAAAUAGGAGUUCCUUUGCUUAGGGAAUGCCUGGAGUAGAGAUACCCAUUGCUUUUAGUUGUGGUAGUGGUGGAGGAGGAGGAAGAGAAGGGUGAGGAGGGUGAGGAGACAUCUAUGACAAGAAUGAAAAUGGAAGGAUGGCUGAAGAAACCUUGAAAUAUCUACAUAGCUUCUGUGCACUAAAUAUUUUAGAUUCCUGGAAUAGAAAUUGCCUGAUUUCAUAUGCAGAAACCACUUGUCUAAUCAUGUUAUUUAAAUUUAUUUAUUUAUAGCAGGGUGGUGGUGGCGCACACCUUUAAUCCCAGCACUUGGGAGGCAGAGGCACGCAGAUUUCUGAGUGCGAGGCCAGCCUGGUCUACAAACCUUUAGAGAACCUGAAAUGUACUUUGUCAGGAAACCCAACACUGGAGACCCAGAAAUCAUGAAAUUAAAAUGUUUUCAUGAAAGUGAAUAAUACAGACUCCUUCCAACAACUAAAGAAGAUGGAUGAGUGUGAGAAGUCAGGACUGCAUUACCCCAACAUGGGAGAGUUGGGAGCUAUUCAUUGAGCUUAAGAACUAGAGGAGACCAUGGAAAGCAUGCCAAGACCUUUUUAUGAUGCCAGUUUGGAAGGCUGAACCAUCAUACUAUUCUUCAAGGGAAUAAUAACUCCAGCUUAAUAUCUGUAUAUCUCUGUAGGCAGGUUCAUGAAAUUCAGUUCCCAUUAGAGCAUUCAGGGAAGUCCUCUGGGUCUCCUCACAUAUUCACACUGCAAGGCAGUUACAGGAAUCAGGCCCAUGCAUCCACAGGUCAUCAUUUCAGCCACGCCAACUAAAUGCAGCAUGCAGCACAGCGACAUCAGAGAUGUACCUAGAAAAGUAGUUCCCAGGAGAGGUAUUGCGGGAUCCUCCAGUAGAACUACGUCCAAUACCUCUCCUGGGCAUAUAUCCAGAAGAUGUUCCAACUGGUAAGAAAGACACAUGCUCCACUAUGUUCAUAGCAGCCUUAUUUAUAAUAGCCAGAAGCUGGAAAGAACCCAGAUGCCCCUCAACAGAGGAAUGGAUACAGAAAAUGUGGUACAUUUACACAAUGGAGUACUACUCAGCUAUUAAAAAGAAUGAAUUUGUGAAAUUCCUAGGCAAAUGGAUUAACCUGGAGGGCAUCAUCCUGACUGAGGUAACCCAAUCACAAAAGAACUCACAUGACAUGUACUCACUGAUAAGUGGAUAUUAGCCCAGAAACUUAGAAUACCCAAGAUACAAGAUACAAGAUACAAAGCACAUGAAACGCAAGAAGAACGAAGAGCAAAGUGUGGGCAGUUUGCUCCUUCUUAGAAUUGGGAACAAAACACCCAUGGAAGGAGUUACAGAGACAAAGUUUGGAGCUGAGACUCCAAACGCAGACACCAUUGCACACACUAGCAAGAUUUUGCUGAAAGGACCCUGAUAUAGCUGUCUCUUGUGAGACUAUGCCGGGGCCUAGCAAACACAGAAGUGGAUGCUCACCUUCAGCUAUUGGAUGGAUCACAGAGCCCCCAAUGGAGGAGCUAGAGAAAGUACCCAAGGAGCUGAAAAGGUCUGCAACCCUAUAGGUGGAACAACAAUAUGAACUAACCAGUACCCCCUAGAGCUCUCUAGCUGCAUAUGUAGCAGAAGAUGGCCUAGUCAGCCGUCAGUGGAAAGAGAGGCCCAUUGGUCUUGCAAACUUUAUAUGCCCCAGUACAGGGGAACGCCAGGGCCAAGAAGUGGGAGUGGGUGGGUAGGGGAGUGGAGGGGGAGGGUAUGGGGGACUUUUGGGAUAGCAUUGGAAAUGUAAAUGAGGAAAAUACCUAAUAAAAAUAUUUAAAAAAGAAAAGAAAA